UUGGAACUGAGACACGGUCCAAACUCCUACGGGAGGCAGCAGUGAGGAAUAUUGGUCAAUGGACGAGAGUCUGAACCAGCCAAGUAGCGUGAAGGAUGAAGGUUCUAUGGAUUGUAAACUUCUUUUAUACGGGAAUAAACGGAUCCACGUGUGGAUUUUUGCAUGUACCGUAUGAAUAAGGAUCGGCUAACUCCGUGCCAGCAGCCGCGGUAAUACGGAGGAUCCGAGCGUUAUCCGGAUUUAUUGGGUUUAAAGGGAGCGUAGAUGGGUUGUUAAGUCAGUUGUGAAAGUUUGCGGCUCAACCGUAAAAUUGCAAUUGAUACUGGCAGUCCUGAGUACAGUUGAGGUAGGCGGAAUUCGUGGUGUAGCGGUGAAAUGCUUAGAUAUCACGAAGAACUCCGAUUGCGAAGGCAGCUUACUAACCUGUAACUGACAUUGAUGCUCGAAAGUGUGGGUAUCAAACAGGAUUAGAUACCCUGGUAGUCCACACGGUAAACGAUGAAUACUCGCUGUAGG
RNAcentral lists this ribosomal RNA (516 nucleotides) under uncultured bacterium. RNAcentral's name for it is "bacterial SSU rRNA". It matches the Rfam family "Bacterial small subunit ribosomal RNA", at positions 313 to 826 of the family's 1533-position model. The record is from RNAcentral.